GCACAGAACAAACCAUGUAAUUAGGUUGAUCCUUUUCUUUCUUUCUUUCUUUCUUUCUUUCUUUCUUUCUUUCUUUCUUUCUUUCUUUCUUUCUUUCUUUCUUUCUUCCUUCUUUUUUUUGUCUAAUGGAUUGGCACUCUACAGAGAGUGUGAAUAGGGAAUAAAGGAGAAUCCAGGAAACAAGACAAAGUUUUCCUGGCCUGAUUGCCAAAUUAUUGCAACCCUCCUGUCUCAGACUUCCAAGUAAUGGGAUUACAGAUAGCUGUCCCCAGAGGCAGGAUGGAAAGCAUCCGAAGACAGAAGAACGCAGCCCCGAUCCGCGAAACAAUGAGCUCACACAACAUGGCCCGUCACCUGAUAUGAUCCCUGACCUAAAUCCUAUAAGAACAUGCUGGCAACUGUGGAGAGCAUCUUCAGUACCAGCUUGCUCUGCAAGAUCCAGGUCCCUUGUCUGCUGGUUAUGUGUUAUUAGAUGCCAUUUUCUGUGUGUGCAGAUGGCCUGUGCUUGUAUUUUUCACUUAAAGAUGUGCUCAAUGGUUCCCUAUCCCACAAUCCUGUUGUGGAGCCCUCCCUGUCAGGGUACUGUGUUACUCUUGGUAUUCAAUAUCCAGGAUGUCUGGAUUUUAUCUGACCAUUCUCUGUGCAUCCUAGCACUUGCCAAUAGUCCUUUAAUUCAACAUGCAACUAUGCAGCUGCUGUUUCAAUGGAAAAGGGUUCAACUAGAGUGCAGUAGGAAACUGGGCUCCUAUUACAUGCCAUCUUGAGACUCUUCUGAGUCAUAGCUUCUGUGUAAGAUUUGAGGAAAAGGGGUUAUUUUAUUUUAUUUUAUUUUAUUUUAUUUUAUUUUUGGCACUUGAUUACCUCCUUGGUAGUGACUGACUUGUUGCUGCUGUCUUAAAUGACCUUGGUUACUUGUUAUUUACUUUGUAAACAGCACAAUGGAAAACAGUACUUAUCUUGCCUUCUCAGCAAUCAUUAGAUCUUUGUAGAAAUUUAACUCAGACGAGGUCCAAAUGUGCUUAUAGAAAUAGUUAACUCUGUUUAUUAUCCACCUGUAGUGGGGCAGUAAUGUUCAAUGACUCUUCUUUUGUUUGUGCUGAAAAGUUCCACACAGAAAUAUCUCUAGUCUUGAAGGCAAUGCUACAUUGAGUCUGUGUUAUCUUUUGUGCUGUGAUUUGAAGGGUGAUGUUCUGGGGGGAAAAAAAAACUCAUAUGAAAUAAAGUAUUCCUUUGUAUGAUCACUGUGGGUGUUAAAAUUUUCAUUAAAGAUCAUUUUCCUUAGCAUAAAUGUAUGACU
This is a long non-coding RNA of Mus musculus (house mouse), 1297 nucleotides long. RefSeq annotates it as predicted gene, 41721. NCBI's taxonomy places the organism in Eukaryota, Metazoa, Chordata, Mammalia, Rodentia, Muridae. The transcript has 3 exons. The record is from RefSeq and is a predicted model, not a curated record.